UCUGGUCAGGACGUUACACCUAUGCACAAUCCAUACGUCCAUGGACCUGAUAUACGCCUAUAACUAAAUAUGUAAUUCAAUUAUAGGUUUAUAUAACAUUUUCAUCGUCGCUCAGCCACAUAAUGCCAGGGUAUACCUGGUGGGCUUUCUGGAAUAGAAAGACACAUAUAUCAUGUUUUAAAGGGCAAUAGAGUAUUGAGUGAAUUUCAUUCUCUACCUCUGAGGUCACAGUAGUUACAAAGUCUCUCCUAUACUAUUUCACCACAAUACCAGCCUGUUUACACACACAGGCGCAAUAUCCCUGUUCUUACCUGUGCACAUAGUGAUCUCCGGCUGUAGGAUGUACAUAACCUUUCUGUCACACAUGAAUUCGCUCUUAAUCAAACAAAAGUUUCUCAAUUUACGUUGAUGAUUAAUCUCCUCCACCAAUUUCUUUUCAUAUUGCAUCAUCAGUUGUUUUUUAAUGUUUUUUUAAAUUUGGUUUUCAUACAGAUGUUCAUAGUCAGACUGUUGUGAAAGGUUUAGAUUGGAUGAGCUUAUUAGUCACUUGUAUAGGGACACAGAUGUAAUUAUAGGGUACAGUGAAAAUCUUGUUCUCCGGGCUCCAACAGUGCAGUCACUCUGAGUGUGGAUUGCAGUCACUCCGAGACUUUUCCAGUAGACUGCUUUCAAGGUAACUCAGUAUAUCUGGGAUAAUGUCCAAGGGACUCAUCUGAAGGGAGUCCCAGAUCUGUGUACUGAGCCAAAGCACUCUCUCACUGCCCAACACUGUGCUACCACCCUCAGCCACCCUGCUCCCCUGUGU
This is a long non-coding RNA of Salvelinus namaycush (lake trout), 805 nucleotides long. RefSeq lists it as uncharacterized. The transcript has 3 exons. The record is from RefSeq and is a predicted model, not a curated record. Lineage: Eukaryota; Metazoa; Chordata; Actinopteri; Salmoniformes; Salmonidae.